AGUGAACGCUGGCGGUAGGCCUAACACAUGCAAGUCGAACGGCAGCACAGUAAGAGCUUGCUCUUACGGGUGGCGAGUGGCGGACGGGUGAGGAAUACAUCGGAAUCUACUUUUUCGUGGGGGAUAACGUAGGGAAACUUACGCUAAUACCGCAUACGACCUACGGGUGAAAGCAGGGGAUCUUCGGACCUUGCGCGAUUGAAUGAGCCGAUGUCGGAUUAGCUAGUUGGCGGGGUAAAGGCCCACCAAGGCGACGAUCCGUAGCUGGUCUGAGAGGAUGAUCAGCCACACGGGAACUGAGACACGGUCCAGACUCCUACGGGAGGCAGCAGUGGGGAAUAUUAGACAAUGGGCGCAAGGCUGAUCCAGCCAUACCGCGUGAGUGAAGAAGGACUUCGGGUUGUAAAGCCCUUUUGUUGGGAAAGAAAAGCAGCAGGUUAAUACCCCGAUGUUCUGACGGUACCCAAAGAAUAAGCACCGGCUAACUUCGUG
Molecule: ribosomal RNA, 492 nt
Filed under: uncultured bacterium
Lineage: Bacteria
Description: partial 16S ribosomal RNA
Rfam family: Bacterial small subunit ribosomal RNA
Source: RNAcentral